Molecule: non-coding RNA, 84 nt
Organism: Arthromyces matolae
Lineage: Eukaryota; Fungi; Basidiomycota; Agaricomycetes; Agaricales; Lyophyllaceae
Source: the annotation of a GenBank genome assembly
GGGCACAUGGUGUAGCUGGUUAUCACGCUCGCUUUGCAUCUGCAAUCCUGCGAGUGGUCUCCGGUUCGAUUCCGGAUGUGUCCA